RNAcentral lists this ribosomal RNA (497 nucleotides) under uncultured bacterium. RNAcentral's name for it is "partial 16S ribosomal RNA". It matches the Rfam family "Bacterial small subunit ribosomal RNA", at positions 28 to 507 of the family's 1533-position model. The record is from RNAcentral.
GAUGAACGCUGGCGGCGUGCCUAAUACAUGCAAGUCGAGCGAACAGACGAGGAGCUUGCUCCUCUGACGUUAGCGGCGGACGGGUGAGUAACACGUGGAUCACCUACCUAUAAGACUGGGAUAACUUCGGGAAACCGGAGCUAAUACCGGAUAAUAUAUUGAACCGCAUGGUUCAAUAGUGAAAGACGGUUUUGCUGUCACUUAUAGAUGGAUCCGCGCCGCAUUAGCUAGUUGGUAAGGUAACGGCUUACCAAGGCAACGAUGCGUAGCCGACCUGAGAGGGUGAUCGGCCACACUGGAACUGAGACACGGUCCAGAGUCAUACGGGAGGCAGCAGUAGGGAAUCGGCCGCAAGGGGCGAAAGCCUGACGGAGCAACGCCGCGUGAGUGAUGAAGGUCUUCGGAUCGUAAAACUCUGUUAUUAGGGAAGAACAAAUGUGUAAGUAACUAUGCACGUCUUGACGGUACCUAAUCAGAAAGCCACGGCUAACUACGUG